Molecule: ribosomal RNA, 524 nt
Filed under: uncultured bacterium
Lineage: Bacteria
Description: bacterial SSU rRNA
Rfam family: Bacterial small subunit ribosomal RNA
Source: RNAcentral
CUAAGAAUAUUCCGCAAUGGGCGAAAGCCUGACGGAGCGACGCCGCGUGGACGAGGAAGGCCGAAAGGUUGUAAAGUUCUUUUGCGGGUAGGGAAGGAGGCCUGGAGGGAAUGCCAGGCCGGUGACGCCGGCCCGCGAAUAAGCCCCGGCUAAUUACGUGCCAGCAGCCGCGGUAACACGUAAGGGGCGAGCGUUGUUCGGAAUUAUUGGGCGUAAAGGGCGCGUAGGCGGCGCCGCAAGUCGGGCGUGAAAUACCGGGGCUCAACCCCGGGGCUGCGCCGGAAACUGCGGCGCUUGAGUCGCGGAGGGGAAAUCGGAAUUCCUGGUGUAGGGGUGAAAUCUGUAGAUAUCAGGAAGAACACCGGUGGCGAAGGCGGAUUUCCAGCCGGCGACUGACGCUGAGGCGCGAAAGCGCGGGGAGCAAACAGGAUCAGAUACCCUGGUAGUCCGCGCCGUAAACGAUGCACACUAGGCGUCGGGGCGAGCGCCCCGGUGCCGGAGCGAACGCGAUAAGUGUGCCGCCU